This 271-nucleotide ribosomal RNA is filed under the name uncultured bacterium. Its description in RNAcentral is "partial 16S ribosomal RNA". It matches the Rfam family "Bacterial small subunit ribosomal RNA", at positions 524 to 794 of the family's 1533-position model. The record is from RNAcentral.
GACGAAGGGGGCUAGCGUUGUUCGGAAUUACUGGGCGUAAAGCGAGUGUAGGUGGUUUUCCAAGUUGGAUGUGAAAGCCUUGAGCUCAACUCAAGAAAUGCAUUCAGGACUGGGAGACUAGAGGACCGGAGAGGAUAGUGGAAUUCCCAGUGUAGUGGUGAAAUACGUAGAGAUUGGGAAGAACACCAGUGGCGAAGGCGGCUCACUGGCUCGGUACUGACGCUGAGGAGCGACAGCGUGGGGAGCAAACAGGAUUAGAAACCCUUGUAGU